Molecule: non-coding RNA, 21 nt
Filed under: Caenorhabditis elegans
Lineage: Eukaryota; Metazoa; Nematoda; Chromadorea; Rhabditida; Rhabditidae
Source: RNAcentral
UGGUUUCCAAGACAAUCUUCA